RNAcentral lists this long non-coding RNA (780 nucleotides) under Olea europaea subsp. europaea. Lineage: Eukaryota; Viridiplantae; Streptophyta; Magnoliopsida; Lamiales; Oleaceae. The record is from RNAcentral.
CUAUUCUUGAAUUAAAUUCUGUCAUUACUUGAUUACAUUUUGUGUGUGCCAGCACUCCUGCACUCUGGCCAAAUAUUGAUUCUAUGAAUCUGCUUUUGUUUUUAAUGGUAAUAUGGAGUCAAACAUAAUAUAACUAAUCUAGACGUGGUUCAACUUAUUUGAGAUAUUUAGAGAGUAAAUUGGCUUGGACGCUUUUAAAGAUUAUGAUUAAUGCAAAGUAAGAAACCUUGUUCAAGAUUGGUGAUAACUAGUUAAGAACGAAGAAUAGGAUUGAUGGAACGGUUGAACAUUAUGCUUCUUUGGAAUUGUGGCAGGGAUUUCGAUAUGUUGCAUCUGGUCCCAUGGUUAGGUCAUCAUACAAGGCGGGUGAAUUCUAUAUUAAAUCCAUGAUAGAAUCAGAUCGUGCUGCAUCUUCUUCCUAGAAUUCAGUAAUCAGGUGAUUGAUCAUCUUUAUACCAACAAGUCGAUGCUCAUAGAAGACAUACGGAAAUGUUACAUUGCUUCAUCAGUUGACCUUUAUUCACUUCAAGAGGCUUUAUCUUCCACACUAGAAUCAAGAUUUGUGCUCCAAUUAAUGUAUUAACUUGUCCUAAAGAGUCACCUGCUAAAGUAUUUGCACAUUCAAACGAUGAUAUUGCUUAUCUAUUCAAUUUUUUAUUUAUUUUUUGGCUGUACAUCAACUCUGAUGUAAAUUUGUAAUUAUAUCUUGGCAGAUUCCCAUCUGCUGCCUUCAUGAAAUAAAAAGCUUCUGGUUUCUUAUGUUUCUUAAUGACUCAGAGA